UCAGUGUUCAGAAAAAAAACUGCAGAACCACCCCCUCCCUUUCAGUCCAUGGUUCGGCGCCGGUCAUAGGGUUUCGGCCAGUGGCCGCCGUUGCCGCUCCGCGAGUGGUGGUCGGAACCACCAAAACCAUGGGUUUUAAACCCGCUUCUGAGUUCAUUCGAAGGCCCGGCCCCCGUGUCCCAAAAGACCGAAGGAGAAGGAUCUUCUCUGCUUCCUCUCGGUCUGACUCCGGCGACGGUCGGGAAACCUUCGGCGAUGGACUCACGGAGUAAGCAGGUGAUUGACGCGGUGGCAGAGUCAGAGGGCAGGUGAGCGAUGGCAAGUGGGAGACGUGACGUGCGGCGCGGCGGUGGCAGGAGGUCAGGGGUCAGAAGACCCUAGGUGCGAUUAGGGUUUUUUGUUGAAAUGUUUUAAGUUUUUGGGCUUGUUGGGCUAGGUUUUAAUUUGGGUCUUUUUGGGUUUGAUUUGGGCCAUGUUUGGUUUGUUUAUUUUGUAAAUGGGCCCGGGCAAAAUUGGGCUUCUACAGUUAGUUCACACAUGAAGCCAGCCAACCACUUUUUCCUAAUAUAAAGGUCGAGUUGUCCUUUUCCCUGUA
This is a long non-coding RNA of Gossypium raimondii (Peruvian cotton), 595 nucleotides long. RefSeq lists it as uncharacterized. The transcript has 2 exons. NCBI's taxonomy places the organism in Eukaryota, Viridiplantae, Streptophyta, Magnoliopsida, Malvales, Malvaceae. The record is from RefSeq and is a predicted model, not a curated record.